This 210-nucleotide unclassified non-coding RNA is filed under the name uncultured Basidiomycota. RNAcentral's name for it is "sequence contains ITS2". Lineage: Eukaryota; Fungi; Basidiomycota. The record is from RNAcentral.
ACUCUUCAACCCAUCUAUUCCUUGUGAAUAGCGUGGUGUUUGGAUUUUGAAUGUUGCUGGCUCAUUUUGAGCGGAGCUCGUUCGUAAUACAUUAGCAACUCAAUUUCGUUUUAUUCGGAUUGACUCGGCGUAAUAGACUAUUCGCUGAGGACACUUUUUGUGGCCGAAUUUCGAAGUAGUAGCUUCUAACUUUUGAAGUCAAAUUCUAAG